This is a non-coding RNA of Acanthosepion pharaonis, 109 nucleotides long. NCBI's taxonomy places the organism in Eukaryota, Metazoa, Mollusca, Cephalopoda, Sepiida, Sepiidae. The record is from the annotation of a GenBank genome assembly.
GGACAUUUCACGUCGAAACACAGUUUCCCGUACGAUAACCGAAGUUAAGCAACGUUGUGCAUGGUCAAUACCUAGAUGGGUGACAGCCUGAGAAAACCAGGUGCUGUAA